This 461-nucleotide ribosomal RNA is filed under the name uncultured bacterium. Its description in RNAcentral is "bacterial SSU rRNA". It matches the Rfam family "Bacterial small subunit ribosomal RNA", at positions 46 to 494 of the family's 1533-position model. The record is from RNAcentral.
GCCUAACACAUGCAAGCCGAGCGGCAGCACAAGUAAGUUUACUUAUGAGGUGGCGAGCGGCGGACGGGUGAGUAAUGCCUAGGGAUCUGCCCAGUCGAGGGGGAUAACAGUUGGAAACGACUGCUAAUACCGCAUACGCCCUACGGGGGAAAGAGGGGGACCUUCGGGCCUCUCGCGAUUGGAUGAACCUAGGUGGGAUUAGCUAGUUGGUGAGGUAAUGGCUCACCAGGGGCGACGAUCCCUAGCUGUUCUGAGAGGAUGAUCAGCCACACUGGGACUGAGACACGGCCAGACUCCUACGGGAGGCAGCAGUGGGGAAUAUUGCACAAUGGGGGAAACCCUGAUGCAAGCCAUGCCGCAGUGUGUGAAGAAGGCCUUCGGGUUGUAAAGCACUUUCAGUAGGGAGGAAAGGGUGAGUCUUAAUACGGCUCAUCUGUGACGUUACCUACAGAAGAAGGACC